CGGCGGACGGGUGAGUAACACGUAGGCAACCUACCCUUGAGAUUGGGAUAACUACCGGAAACGGUAGCUAAUACCGGAUACGACUUUUCCACAUAAGUGGAAUUGUUAAAAGGCGGAUUUAUCUGCCGCUCAUGGAUGGGCCUGCGGUGCAUUAGCUAGUUGGUGAGGUAGUGGCUCACCAAGGCGACGAUGCAUAGCCGACCUGAGAGGGUGAUCGGCCACACUGGGACUGAGACACGGCCCAGACUCCUACGGGAGGCAGCAGUAGGGAAUCUUCCGCAAUGGACGCAAGUCUGACGGAGCAACGCCGCGUGAGUGAUGAAGGGUUUCGGCUCGUAAAACUCUGUUGUUAAGGAAGAACACUUGAGGUAGUAACUGGCCUUGAGAUGACGGUACUUAACCAGAAAGCCACGGCUAACUACGUGCCAGCAGCCGCGGUAAUACGUAGGUGGCAAGCGUUAUCCGGAAUUAUUGGGCGUAAA
RNAcentral lists this ribosomal RNA (482 nucleotides) under uncultured bacterium. RNAcentral's name for it is "bacterial SSU rRNA". It matches the Rfam family "Bacterial small subunit ribosomal RNA", at positions 96 to 564 of the family's 1533-position model. The record is from RNAcentral.